CCAAUAGCGUAUAUUAAAGUUGUUGCAGUUAAAAAGCUCGUAGUUGAAUUUCGAGACCGGUCUACUGGUCGUGCUUUUGUACGUACUGGUAUAAUCGGUUUCUCUCUUCUGACAAACUAUAAUGCCAUUAAUUUGGUGUUUUAGGGAAUCAGGACUGUUACUUUGAAAAAAUUAGAGUGUUUAAAGCAGGCUCACGCUUGAAUACAUUAGCAUGGAAUAACGAAAUAGGACGUUUGAUUCUAUUUUGUUGGUUUCUAGGAUCGACGUAAUGAUUAAUAGGGAUAGUUGGGGGCAUUAGUAUUCAAUUGUCAGAGGUGAAAUUCUUGGAUUUAUUGAAGACUAACUACUGCGAAAGCAUUUGCCAAGGAUGUUUUCAUUAAUCAAGAACGAAAGUUAGGGGAUCGAAGACGAUCAGAUACCGUCGUAGUCUUAACCAUAAACUAUGCCGACUAGGGAUCGGAUGAUGUUAAAUUAAUGACUCAUUCGGCACCUUACG
RNAcentral lists this ribosomal RNA (496 nucleotides) under uncultured Glomeromycotina. Its description in RNAcentral is "SSU rRNA". It matches the Rfam family "Eukaryotic small subunit ribosomal RNA", at positions 591 to 1092 of the family's 1831-position model. Lineage: Eukaryota; Fungi; Glomeromycota. The record is from RNAcentral.